CCUACGGGUGGCAGCAGUGAGGAAUAUUGGUCAAUGGACGAGAGUCUGAACCAGCCAAGUAGCGUGAAGGAUGACUGCUCUCUGGGUUGUAAACUUCUUUUAUAUGGGAAUAAAAUGUUCCACGUGUGGGAUUUUGUAUGUACUAUCUGCAUAAGGAUCGGCUAACUACGUGCAAGCAGCCGCGGUAAUACGGAGGGUCCGAGCGUUAUCCGGAUUUUUUGGGUUUAAGGGGAGCGUAGGUGGAUUGUUAAGUCAGUUGUGAAAGUUUGCGGCUCAACCGUAAAAUUGCAGUUGAAACUGGCAGUCUGGAGUACAGUAGAGGUGAGCGGAAUUCGUGGUGUAGCGGUGAAAUGCUUAGAUAUCACGAAGAACUCCGAUUGCGAAGGCAGCUCACUGGACUGCAACUGACACUGAGGCUCGAAAGUGUGGGUAUCAAACAGGAUUAGAUACCCGGGUAGUC
RNAcentral lists this ribosomal RNA (460 nucleotides) under uncultured bacterium. RNAcentral's name for it is "partial 16S ribosomal RNA". It matches the Rfam family "Bacterial small subunit ribosomal RNA", at positions 338 to 795 of the family's 1533-position model. The record is from RNAcentral.